This 270-nucleotide long non-coding RNA is filed under the name Fukomys damarensis (Damara mole-rat). RNAcentral's name for it is "lncRNA (ENSFDAG00000023771.1)". Lineage: Eukaryota; Metazoa; Chordata; Mammalia; Rodentia; Bathyergidae. The record is from RNAcentral.
AGUUGACUUGAGAGCUCACUCAGCAGCACCACCACACUCAGAAAGUAACUGCUGAGAGUCCUCCUAGAGAUGAUCUGGGAACCCAGUCACUCAUUUAGUCUGUCUGCCUUUCCUGAGGACACAUCUUCCUUCUUCAGUACUCUGUUUCAUCUAGGACUGAUAGAUGAUCCAGAGUUGCUGCCCCUUAUUUUGAGCCAGCUUGCUUCAGUGUAUCUGGUCACCAUCCUGGGAAACCUGCUUAUCAUCCUGGCUGUUAGCUCUGACUUGCAC